AACACCUGUCUCUCCAUGAUCACCCUCUCUCUCUCUCUUGCUUUCGAUCAAUUGGAGGAGCUCAAUGUAAUGCUUACCAUGGUUUCCUACAGCAGCGAAUGCAAAUUCAGCCGCGACAUGGACUGCACGGCUACGUUCACAAGAUCUGGAGCCAAUAAGGACUCGGUUUUUAACCAUUUCAACAAUCAGCAUCGACUGGUCUUACACACAAAGCUCGAGAGCAGAAUCCAGUGCAAAGCUUGGGAAGAGAACAUACCAGGUUCAACUUCUACAGUUGUGUGCAUUGCACUCAUAAUCAUCACAGAUUGCCUACCACUACAGUAAAGGAUUCCCAUUAACUUCCAUCAACUCACACUCUACGCUUCGUUCAUCGAAGAUGAUACUGGUUGCUGGAAUAGUGGAAGUACCUGAAGACCCUGCUAUGGCUGAAAUAGGUGAAACAAUUGCAACUCUGCAGGAAAAAGAGGACAGAGCGAGCACACAACUGGGGGUACUA
Long non-coding RNA from Eucalyptus grandis, 496 nucleotides. RefSeq lists it as uncharacterized. Lineage: Eukaryota; Viridiplantae; Streptophyta; Magnoliopsida; Myrtales; Myrtaceae. The transcript has 3 exons. The record is from RefSeq and is a predicted model, not a curated record.